AUGUCCCACUCCGGGGCCGGCGGACACCCCACCCUCCCCUCCCUCGCCGCCUCGCCAUGGCUUCGCGGGUUUCUCUGUCAGGCUCGUCCUCGUCCUCGUCGGAGCUAUCUUCCCCGGCUUCCUCGCCGGCGCCGCCUCUGGUGCAGGCCCCGCCUGUCUUGCCGCCAUCCCGUCCUCAGCUCAGAUCCAGCGUCGUCACGCCGGUGGUGGGCACGGCCUUCGGUCCGCUGGUCUAGGGCGGGGACGCUGGCCCUUCUCGUCCGCCUCAGGUGGAGGCGGGCUGGUAGACCAAGAGGAUUCGUCGGCCAAGAGGGCCGCCUACUCGCCCUGCCUUCCCUCGGAGGCGUCGCCAGGCCCAGUGCAUCUUGGCUGCGCCCCGUCCGCCGCCGGAGUCAAGGAUGCCGGCAGAGCUUUUCGGCUGUUGCUACAACUGUGGCAAGGAUGAUGGCCACAUCUCGGCGGAGUGCCGGAACCCCAGCUUCUGUGUUCGGUGUAGGGGAGAAGGGCACAUCUCGUGGGGCUGCACCCGCCCCCGAAGCCCAUCCCCGGCUGUGGACGGAUGUGGUGCGGGCGCCGUCUGCGUCGGCGCCGCGUGACUCGCCGCCUUCGGGUCAUGGACAGGGCCCGGAGUUCUCAGUCCCGUUUGGCCCGGCUGCCAUGGCCCCGGGGCACUCGUUGCACGCUCAGGUGGAUCCGGUGGAGGCUUGUUUCCUUGAGGCGUCGGAGGACAUAUGGAUGAUGGAGGCGGAGCUCACCCGUGCUGUGCUCGUCACCGUCACCGGCACCCGCCCCGUCGUGGAUUUGGCGUCUGCGGCGGUCGCGCUUCAUCACGAGUUUGAUAUCGGCCCUGAGGACAUGUCGAUUCGCGCGUACUACCCUGAGGACUUCCUCGUGCUCUGCAAGGAUGGGGCUCUCCGGGAGCGCAUGGUGCGCGCUGGCAGCGCGUCGACUUCCUGGUUCGACUUGAAUUUUCGGCCUUGGAUAUGGCAAGCUCAGGCCACCGCGGCGCAUCUGCCUUUCUUGGUUCAUGUCUCGCUUCGUGGAGUUCCGGCUCAUGCGUGGAGCCAGAGGACGGCAUCGGUGAUCCUGCGUGGCCUGGGUUUCAUGGUGGGGGUGGAUGACAGCACGGCGCGCCGUCUCGACAUGGCUGAUUUCAGAGUAUGGCUGCGAACUGACCGCCCAAGAUCGAUUCCGAGGCGCCGGCUGCUCUACAUUGAUGAACCACGGCGAACGCUAUGGGCAGGCGAGGCGGGCCGGCGCGCUUCUUCUGGAAGGUGUGCUGCCACACUGUGGUAUCCCAUUGAGAUCAGCGUUCUUGCAGAGCCGACAUUGGCGGAUUCGGAGGAGGUGGAAGUAUGGCCGCCACUGCCACCGCUGCCGUCGCCGCCCACUGGUGAUGAUGCGCGGCAGUCUCGUUCUGGUGGGGGUCGGGAUGCUGUUGGCGGGCCCCGUGGCAAUGGGGCAUCAGGUGGUUCUGGCGCUGCUGGACCGGCGGCGAGCACGGCCGGUUCCUCGACGGCGGCACCGCCGGCGGGCAGGCAGGGGCCAAUUCAAAACGCUCGGGCUCCGGUGGGUUCCAGCUUCCGUCAGCGUGCGAGCGAUAGCUGCAUGGCUGAGGUCACGGGAUCAGCGCCCGCCACGCUGGCGCCACACCCUACGGUGCAGCGCUUAGCUCUGGGGCGUUGCACCUCUGUCCACCGUGGCAGCCCGUGGGCCCGCACCCAGCAGUGCAACGCCUCCGAGCUAGGCGCCGCACAUGAGCUUGCACCUCUGAAGCUUCGGUCUCACGGGAUCAGCCUUGGAGGGAUGCGCUAUGAUGAGCGGUACACACCGUAUACCGUGAAGUACGAGGAUUGGGACGAUAAAGACGACCCACUACGGCUCCCCACUUGGGCUUACAAGUGGGAUGUGUUAAAUGAGACGACGGAUGAUCCCUCGGUAAUGUACAAGUUGUACAAGAGCGAGCUGGACGCGAUCACGCCUGAGCAGGUGGAAUGGGAGCCGUAUGGAAAAGGAGAGAGUUUUGGUAACCCUAUAGAGUACAGGCUGAAUCCGAUGUGCAUUAGGGAUAGGGAUCUCUGGCAUAUGCGGUGCCCACUGAUAUGCAACUAGGCGGUUGAGCUUCACCUACCACAUCGGGUGUUCUUCCAGUUUGGUUUGUUCCAGCCACACCCGCCGGAGUGGGAGGACACGGACAAGUUGCUACACGCGUUGGAUAGGAAAAAGCAGCGGAAGAUCAAGGAUUGGGCCAAGCAUCACAGGAAGUAUGUCGUGCAAUUCGCUCUUAGUGUGGAGCAAGCAAGGGCUGGAAAACGAGCCCAGCUUCGUGAGCACUGCCCGAUCGCGUUCAACAACUACCUCACAUGGUUUCUUGCAAGUACCCGCGUGGAGGUAUGCCAGCCGGUGUAUGCUGAGGAGAUUCUGGAAGAACCCACCAUUUUUGAUGAGAUCAAGAAAGCAGCUGAUGAGACCGAGACUAUUCUGGAAACAACCCCGGCUGGCAAAAGCGAUGGGGAAGAUGCACUUCGAGCAUUCAUUAAGCGCCAGGGCCAAAAGUUAAGGUGGCUAUCAAACCUUUUCGGUUGUCGUGACCCCGAGUAUGUAUCACCAGAACGGUCUAGGUCGGCGACAGCAUCAGAUCCCGCUUUGGGGCAGAGCCAUGGUGAACCUUUCGAGGAUGAGGAUGUGGGUGUGGUCACCCAAGAGGUUGCUGAUGAUAUGACCUUGGGGACGUACCAGGCUCGGUCUGCAUACGAGUUGAAGCCUAGGAAGGGAAUCAACAAGUACACACCUGAAGACUUCACCCAAAGAGGCCAAAGAGGCAAAAGGACGGUCGGCACCUCGCGGAUGGCGGCUUUGGAUGACUAUUUGAAUGACGAUGUCGAACCGGAGCCGGAGCCGGAGCCGGAGUGGGUUCCUCUUCCUAGGAAGGUGAAGAAGAUAAGCGUCAAGAGGGGGGAGGAGCCAGCAAGCGUGGAAAGCACUAGUCAUCGUCAUUUUUUUAUAAUGUUGAACUUAGAGUGGAAUUUGUUAUGUCGUUGA
RNAcentral lists this ribosomal RNA (3042 nucleotides) under Triticum aestivum (bread wheat). RNAcentral describes it as "partial small subunit ribosomal RNA". Lineage: Eukaryota; Viridiplantae; Streptophyta; Magnoliopsida; Poales; Poaceae. The record is from RNAcentral.